GAGUUUGAUCCUGGCUCAGGAUGAACGCUGGCGGCGCGCCUAACACAUGCAAGUCGAACGGCACCCCUCUCCGGAUAGAAGCGAGUGGCGAACGGCUGAGUAACACGUGGAGAACCUGCCCCCUCCCCCGGGAUAGCCGCCCGAAAGGACGGGUAAUACCGGAUACCCCGGGGUGCCGCAUGGCACCCCGGCUAAAGCCCCGACGGGAGGGGAUGGCUCCGCGGCCCAUCAGGUAGACGGCGGGGUGACGGCCCACCGUGCCGACAACGGGUAGCCGGGUUGAGAGACCGACCGGCCAGAUUGGGACUGAGACACGGCCCAGACUCCUACGGGAGGCAGCAGUGGGGAAUCUUGCGCAAUGGGGGGAACCCUGACGCAGCGACGCCGCGUGCGGGACGGAGGCCUUCGGGUCGUAAACCGCUUUCAGCAGGGAAGAGUCAAGACUGUACCUGCAGAAGAAGCCCCGGCUAACUACGUGCCAGCCGCCGCGGUAAUAC
RNAcentral lists this ribosomal RNA (497 nucleotides) under uncultured bacterium. RNAcentral's name for it is "bacterial SSU rRNA". It matches the Rfam family "Bacterial small subunit ribosomal RNA", at positions 9 to 526 of the family's 1533-position model. The record is from RNAcentral.